Molecule: ribosomal RNA, 253 nt
Filed under: uncultured bacterium
Lineage: Bacteria
Description: partial 16S ribosomal RNA
Rfam family: Bacterial small subunit ribosomal RNA
Source: RNAcentral
UACGUAGGGGGCUAGCGUUGUCCGGAAUCAUUGGGCGUAAAGCGCGUGUAGGCGGCCCGGUAAGUCCGCUGUGAAAGUCGGGGGCUCAACCCUCGGAUGCCGGUGGAUACUGUCGGGCUCGAGUACGGAAGAGGCGAGUGGAAUACCUGGUGUAGCGGUGAAAUGCGCAGAUAUCAGGAGGAACACCAAUGGCGAAGGCAGCACUCUGGGACGUGACUGACGCUGAGACGCGAAAGCGUGGGGAGCAAACAGG